UGGGGAAUUUUGGACAAUGGGCGCAAGCCUGAUCCAGCCAUGCCGCGUGCAGGAUGAAGGCCUUCGGGUUGUAAACUGCUUUUGUACGGAACGAAAAGGUUUGGCCUAAUAAGCUGAGCUCAUGACGGUACCGUAAGAAUAAGCACCGGCUAACUACGUGCCAGCAGCCGCGGUAAUACGUAGGGUGCGAGCGUUAAUCGGAAUUACUGGGCGUAAAGCGUGCGCAGGCGGUUAUGUAAGGCAGAUGUGAAAUCCCCGGGCUCAACCUGGGAACUGCAUUAGUGACUACAUAGCUGGAGUACGGCAGAGGGGGAUGGAAUUCCGCGUGUAGCAGUGAAAUGCGUAGAUAUGCGGAGGAACACCGAUGGCGAAGGCAAUCCCCUGGGCCUGCACUGACGCUCAUGCACGAAAGCGUGGGGAGCAAACA
This 427-nucleotide ribosomal RNA is filed under the name uncultured bacterium. Its description in RNAcentral is "bacterial SSU rRNA". It matches the Rfam family "Bacterial small subunit ribosomal RNA", at positions 355 to 774 of the family's 1533-position model. The record is from RNAcentral.